Molecule: ribosomal RNA, 448 nt
Filed under: uncultured bacterium
Lineage: Bacteria
Description: bacterial SSU rRNA
Rfam family: Bacterial small subunit ribosomal RNA
Source: RNAcentral
GACCAGACUCCUACGGGAGGCAGCAGUGGGGAAUAUUGCACAAUGGGGGAAACCCUGAUGCAGCGACGCCGCGUGAGUGAAGAAGUAUUUCGGUAUGUAAAGCUCUAUCAGCAGGGAAGAAAAUGACGGUACCUGACUAAGAAGUCCCGGCCAACUACGUGCCGGCAGCCGCGGUAGUACGUAGGGGGCAAGCGUUAUCCGGAUUUACUGGGUGUAAAGGGAGCGUAGACGGUUACGCAAGUCUGGAGUGAAAGGCGGGGGCCCAACCCCCGGACUGCUUUGGAAACUGUAUAACUGGAGUGCAGGAGAGGUAAGUGGAAUUCCUAGUGUAGCGGUGAAAUGCGUAGAUAUUAGGAGGAACACCAGUGGCGAAGGCGGCUUACUGGACUGUAACUGACGUUGAGGCUCGAAAGCGUGGGGAGCAAACAGGAUUAGAUACCCCUGUAAC